AACGAACGCUGGCGGCGUGCUUAACACAUGCAAGUCGAACGGGAUCCAGAGCUUGCUCUGGUGAGAGUGGCGCACGGGUGAGUAACGCGUGGAUAACCUGCCCUGGUAUCUGGAAUAACAUCUCGAAAGGGGGUGCUAAUACCGGAUAAGCCCACGGAGCCUUCGGUCUCUGCGGGAAAAAGGUGGCCUCUAUUUAUAAGCUACCGUAUCAGGAUGGGUCCGCGUACCAUUAGCUAGUUGGUGGGGUAAUGGCCUACCAAGGCGACGAUGGUUAGCUGGUCUGAGAGGAUGAUCAGCCACACUGGAACUGAGACACGGUCCAGACUCCUACGGGAGGCAGCAGUGGGGAAUUUUGCGCAAUGGGGGAAACCCUGACGCAGCAACG
RNAcentral lists this ribosomal RNA (385 nucleotides) under uncultured bacterium. RNAcentral's name for it is "bacterial SSU rRNA". It matches the Rfam family "Bacterial small subunit ribosomal RNA", at positions 29 to 396 of the family's 1533-position model. The record is from RNAcentral.